This 230-nucleotide unclassified non-coding RNA is filed under the name plant metagenome. Its description in RNAcentral is "partial contains small subunit ribosomal RNA, internal transcribed spacer 1, and 5.8S ribosomal RNA". The record is from RNAcentral.
UCUCCGUAGGUGAACCUGCGGAGGGAUCAUUACCGAGCUCAUGCCCUUACGGGUAGAUCUCCCACCCUGUGUUAUUAUUACCUUUGUUGCUUUGGCGGGCUGCCAGGCUCCGGUCAGGCUAUCGGCUUCGGCUGGUAAGCGCCCGCCAGAGGACCCUAUAUCCUGAUUAUUAGUGUCGUCUGAGUACUAUAUAAUAGUUAAAACUUUCAACAACGGAUCUCUUGGUUCUG